AAACUACCCAGACUUAGUACUAAGUUUACCACAAAAAUUAGGUCCAGACUUUUCUUUCAGCAUUAUAAACAAGCUGGAAGAGAUAUGAUCUCAAUUAGAUCAUCACCAGUUUCUCCAUACAUUUUACAGGACCUUUUGAAUUUUCGUUUGUUCCUUUAACAGGUUUUGGAGUUUUGUUCGUGUUCUUCAAAACUGUGGGUAUGGUGUGGUAGGACAUGUCUGACUGUAUUAGGCGUGUGUUUUCUACACACAGAAGUCAUCAAGAACAAAAGGCACAAGGUUAAAUCAAGGACAAGAGUAAAUGAUACAAUCCAGAGCUGUGGUGAAAGGUACAUGAGGGCUGCUGCUGAAGCAACGUGGCUUCAUUACUGUUCAUUAAACUCUUUUCUUCAUAGCACCAGCAGCCUGAAGUAAGGGCAGCACUGAAUUGAGUUGGUACUAGAUGUCACCUGGGGCUUCAUGAGUAAGAAAUGGAAACUAUAAAGCCUGUUUGAACUAUGACGUUGAACUGUAUAAUUUCUCGUGAGUAUUACUGAUGAAAGCAAAUCAUAGUGCCAUUCCAGAUUAAUGGAAAUACAGACUAGCAAUGCCACACCUAGGAAGGUCACAUGGCCACUGGAGGUGUGUCUCAGUGGUAAAGUGUGUGCUUAGCACAUUCCAUAGCCCUGAACUUGAGCCCUGAUAUUACCAAGAAGAGAAAACUAACAAGAGAGGAAACAAUUCUGAGGCCAUCUAUCAUGGUGUAAAUGUGUCCCCCAAAGUUCAUAUGCUGGAAACUUAACCUACAGUGCAACAGUGUUGGGCAGGUAGAGUGCAUUAAGAGGUGAGUGGGUAUGAGGUAGGCCUUAUGAGCAGAAAUUGUCAUUGUCUUGGGAAUGGGUUACUUAUCACACAAAUGGAUUUAUGAAAGUGGCCUCAGUCCCUUCUGCUUGUUUGUAUGUGCCUUCUCCUGCCUUUUUAUCUCCCAUGGCAGGAGGUUACAGCAAAGAAACCCUCUUCAGCAUGCAAGCAGGUGUAACACCAUGCCUUUGGACUUUCCAGCUCCCACAAUUCUAUAAUUUUCUAAAAUUGUAUUUUCUAAAACUCCAUAAUUUUCUUUUCUUUGUAAAUUGCAAUAUAGAAGUAUAAAAUAGCCUUGAGGCACUAUUUAUAGAAACAAUUCUUUUAGGGACAAACAAAUUUAAUCAUGACAGUACAUUUCACUAACUUACAAAUUAGUUCCUUUGUUGGAUGACUUUAGAUAUGAGAAACACAUUCAUUAUUUUGAGGUAUAAUUUUAUGUCAGUUAGAUGUGUAGGCAGCAGCAAGCACUCUCACCUGGAGUACCACUAUCAGGUGGGUAGUGAGCUGUGGAUGUCAGCUCUGUGGACCUGCUCUGAAUGCUCCAGUGUAUUGCAAAUAUCUCAGCCCGGAUAUAGUCUACAUGUCCCAAAUGUGCGAGGGAACAAUCAAAUUCACCUCCAAUGUCUGUUAUGAGACUUGGGGAAAACCCAUACUCAAUGUCUGGAUUCUCAGACCUGCUUCCCUUGAGAUGUCUCAUGCAGUCAGCAGCCUCUAUCUCAGAUGGUGGCAUCACCAAUUGCCACCACAGCCUGCAUUUCUACCUGAACUCACAGUAGCCAUACUCUACUGUCCGGCACAUGCAGUCAGUGUGCUGGGGUGUCCACAAAAUCCCCAGAUUCUGAAUGGUCUGAUUUCAUCUAUUCCUUAUUUUCAUGCUUAUUUGUGUACAUACUUUAAGAGACAGAGGUCUCACUUGCCCUAAAAGUCCCCAACCAUGGGUGACAGGCAAAUGGCACCUCACCCCCAAAAGACUUACUUUAAAGGCACAUCUUUGAUCAUAUAUAUUUACAAAAUUG
This 1859-nucleotide long non-coding RNA is filed under the name Cricetulus griseus (Chinese hamster). Its description in RNAcentral is "lncRNA (ENSCGRG00015041252.1)". Lineage: Eukaryota; Metazoa; Chordata; Mammalia; Rodentia; Cricetidae. The record is from RNAcentral.